GGUAGGUCUUUUCUUCUGCUGAGAUCUCCAUGCCUCCAUUAAUUUAUACAGCAUUUAAAAUACUGUGUAAAGAAUGGAUAAUCCAAUUGGGGGUCCAAUAUAUUACCAUUGUUCUUCUGUGCAAAGUAUCUUCCAUGGUAUCAUCGGGUUAUCCAGAUGUGAUAAGAAGCCAGUCUGCUUGCUGACAUAUUGUAAUUAUAAAUUUGCAACAUUUAAAUAAUGCUUGUCUAAUUCUCAAAUCCUCAUAAACUGAUUUACAUUUUCCCUGUAAACUUCUAGUUUUCCCUCCCCUUCCUCAGUCUUGGUGUCAAAUGUGAACAUAAUUAAUGUUUUUUUCUACUUCUGCUUCUAGAUAACUGCUGAAAAUGUUAAACAAACCAGAGCUCUGGCAGGACCCUGCUAGACGCUUCAUCCAAACAUAUCAUCUUACAACUCUGAUAAAAGGAUCUGCUGGAUUUUCUUUUGGCUGAGAUAAUACAUUUGUAUUCAUUGCAACUGAUGUUAAUUAUGGAUCUGCGUAACUGAUACAAACCUCAAUGACACCUUGAGUAAGUUUUGAGCAAUCACACCUUACUUUGUGUUGCAAUGGCCUGGAAGCAUUGUAUUGCUGUGACUCAGCAGAAGGCAGAGGACCUUUUUGCUCAGAAGUUCCCUCCAUGAAAGUCCUCAUUUCUUAUGGAAGGUCUCAUUAUCCCAGUGGAGAUGGUGUGCCCCAGCCAGCUGCAGGCAGAAGAGAGCAUGCAUGGAUGCUGUUUCUCAGAGAAAUCUGGUAGGAGAGGAUUUUCUGGAAAAUGCCUCCAAAAAGGUGGUAAUGUCCCACCGAGACAAACAAGAGCCCAUACAUUGGAGCGAGAUACAGGACAGAGAGACCCCAAAGUUCCACAUCUCCUCAGUCACGAAUGCUGUGUUGCCAGGGCAUGGGCUCUGCCCAUCCUGGUAGGCUCAGAGCUAUGGUGGGUUGUGAAAAUCAAGAGCAAACAGCGAGGAAAGACAAGUCUUGUCAGUCUGGAGAAUGAGUUGGUUGAACCACCAGGCCCCGGAUCUAUGGCAGCGGAAGCAACAUUGGAAUUGUGUCUUGCUGCGUGCUAG
Molecule: long non-coding RNA, 1089 nt
Filed under: Anas platyrhynchos platyrhynchos (common mallard)
Lineage: Eukaryota; Metazoa; Chordata; Aves; Anseriformes; Anatidae
Description: lncRNA (ENSAPLG00000030564.1)
Source: RNAcentral